Molecule: ribosomal RNA, 465 nt
Filed under: Vreelandella stevensii
Lineage: Bacteria; Pseudomonadati; Pseudomonadota; Gammaproteobacteria; Oceanospirillales; Halomonadaceae
Description: partial 16S ribosomal RNA
Rfam family: Bacterial small subunit ribosomal RNA
Source: RNAcentral
CCUACGGGUGGCUGCAGUGGGGAAUAUUGGACAAUGGGGGCAACCCUGAUCCAGCCAUGCCGCGUGUGUGAAGAAGGCCCUCGGGUUGUAAAGCACUUUCAGUGAGGAAGAACGCCUGGUGGUUAAUACCCAUCAGGAAAGACAUCACUCACAGAAGAAGCACCGGCUAACUCCGUGCCAGCAGCCGCGGUAAUACGGAGGGUGCGAGCGUUAAUCGGAAUUACUGGGCGUAAAGCGCGCGUAGGUGGCUUGAUAAGCCGGUUGUGAAAGCCCCGGGCUCAACCUGGGAACGGCAUCCGGAACUGUCAAGCUAGAGUGAAGGAGAGGAAGGUAGAAUUCCCGGUGUAGCGGUGAAAUGCGUAGAGAUCGGGAGGAAUACCAGUGGCGAAGGCGGCCUUCUGGACUGACACUGACACUGAGGUGCGAAAGCGUGGGUAGCAAACAGGAUUAGAUACCCCGGUAGUC